Molecule: ribosomal RNA, 375 nt
Filed under: uncultured bacterium
Lineage: Bacteria
Description: bacterial SSU rRNA
Rfam family: Bacterial small subunit ribosomal RNA
Source: RNAcentral
UACGAAGGGGGCUAGCGUUGUUCGGAAUCACUGGGCGUAAAGCGCUUGUAGGCGGACUGUUAAGUCGGGGGUGAAAUCCUGAGGCUCAACCUCAGAAUUGCCUUCGAUACUGGCAGUCUUGGAGUCCGGGAGAGGUGAGUGGAACUCCUAGUGUAGAGGUGAAAUUCGUAGAUAUUAGGAAGAACACCAGUGGCGAAGGCGGCUCACUGGCCCGGUACUGACGCUGAUAAGCGAAAGCGUGGGGAGCAAACAGGAUUAGAUACCCUGGUAGUCCACGCCGUAAACGAUGGAAGCUAGCCGUCGGACAGCUUGCUGUUCGGUGGCGCAGCUAACGCUUUAAGCUUCCCGCCUGGGGAGUACGGUCGCAAGAUUAAA